GACGAACGCUGGCGGCGUGCUUAACACAUGCCAGUCGAACGGAAAGGCCCUGCGUUUGUGGGGUGCUCGAGUGGCGAACGGGUGAGUAACACGUGAGUAACCUGCCCUUGACUUUGUGAUAACUUCAGGAAACUGGGGCUAAUACCGGAUAGGAGCUCCUGCUGCAUGUUGGGGGUUGGAAAGUUUCGGCGGUUGGGGAUGGACUCGCGGCUUAUCAGCUUGUUGGUGGGGUAGGGGCUGACCAAGGCUUUGACGGGUAGCCCGCCUGAGAGGGUGACCGGCGACCAUGGGCCUGAGAUACGGCACAGACUGCUACGGGAGGCAGCAGGGGGGAAUAUUGCACAAUGGGCGGAAGCCUGAUGCAGCAACGUCGCGUGCGGGAUGACGGCCUUCGGGUUGUAAACAGCUUUCGAAGGUAACGAAGCGUGAGUGACGGUAACGGGUAAAGAAGCACCGGCUAACUACGUG
Molecule: ribosomal RNA, 468 nt
Filed under: uncultured bacterium
Lineage: Bacteria
Description: partial 16S ribosomal RNA
Rfam family: Bacterial small subunit ribosomal RNA
Source: RNAcentral